UUUUUUUUUUUGUCUAACUAACUCAAAAAGGUUAGAAAAGAGAUCCUACAAAGGUUUUGGACAGUGAUUUUAACCCUAACGCCAAAAACCUUUAAACUUUACCUAGCCCUGUAACCUAAUAUCUGGGUAUUACCUAAAGGAAGCCCUACAUCCCCCAAAGUAUCUUUUUUAUUUUUCAUUUUCUAGCAGCGAGACAACCGAAGAAGAAGAAAAGAACAGGAAAAAAAGAAAACAGCCUUCAAAAGUGCAUCAAAAAGGAACGAAACGAUGCUAUAUGCAUCUAUCAUCUGUCCAGAGUGAAGACGUUCUCGACUUCACAAGGACACGUUGGGAAACUUACAGAACUAGUAUUAGAAAGUGGCUUUCUCUACAGGGUGAGACAGAAGACCAGCCAGAAAUGUGUAGUGAAUUUUGAUUAUUAUUUGGUCUAACUAACUCCAAAAUGUUGGAAAAGAGUUCCUACAAAGGUUUUGGACAGUGAUUUUAACCCUAACGCCAAAAACCUUAAACCUUACCCUAGCCCCAAAACCUAAUACGCGGGUAUUACCUUCAGGAAGCCCGAAAACCCCAAAUGUUUUUUUUUCAUUUUUCAUUUUUUUUUUGGGGUAACUAACUCCAAAAGGUUGGAAAAGAGUUCCUACAAAGGUUUUGGACAGUGAUUUUAACCCUAACGCCAAAAACCUUAAACCUACCCUAGCCCCAUAACCUAAUACCCGGGUAAUACCUUCAGGAAGCCCGAAAACCCCAAAUAUUAUUUAUUCUUUUUUCUUUUUUUUUUGGUCUAACUACCUCCAAAAGGUUGGAAGAGUUCCUACAAAGGUUUUGGACAGUGAUUUUAACCCUAACGCCAAAAACCUUAAACCUUCCCCUGGCCCCAAAACCUAAUACCUUCAGGAAGCCCGAAAACCCCAAAUAUUUUUUUUCAUUUUUCAUUUUUUUUUUGGUCUAACUAACUCCAAAAGGUCUGAAACAUGUUCCUACAAAGGUUUUGGACAGUGAUUUUAACCCCAACGCCAAAAACCUUAAACCUACCCUAGCCCCAAAACCUAAUACCCGGGUAUUACCUUCAGGAAGCCCGAACACCCCAAAUAUUUUUUUUCAUUUUACAUUUUGUUUUGGUGUAACCAACCUCAAAAGAUCUGAAACAUGUUCCUAAAAAGGUUUUGGACAGUGAUUUUAGCCCUCACGCCAAAAACCUUAAAUCUUAUCAUAGCCCCAUAACCUAAUACGGGUAUUACCUUCAGGAAGCCCGAACACCCCAAAUAUUUUUUUUUUCAUUUUUCGUUAUUUUUUGGUCUAACUAACUCCAAAAUGUUGGAAAAGAGUUCCUACAAAGGUUUUGGACAGUGAUUUUGAGCCUAACGCCAAAAACCUUAAACCUUACCCUAGCCCCAAAACCUAAUACCUUCAGGAAGCCCGGAAACCCCAAAUUUUUUUUUUUCAUUUUUCAUUUUUUCUUUUUGGUGUAACUAACUCCAAAAGGUUGGAAAAGAGUUCCUACAAAGGUUUUGGACAGUGAUUAUAACCUAAACGCCAAAAACCUUAAACCUACCCAAGCCCCAUAACCUAUUACCUAGAUAUUACCUUCAGGAAGCCUGAAAACACCAAAUAUUUUUUUUUCAUUUUUCAUUUGUUUUUUUGUGUAACUAACUCCAAAAGGUUGGAAAAGAGUUCCUACAAAGGUUUUGGACAGUGAUUUUGACCCUAACGCCAAAAACGUUAAACCUUACCCUAGCCCCAAAACCUAAUACCUUCAGGAAGCCCGAAAACCCCAAAUAUUUUUUUUUCAUUUUUCAUUUUUUUUUUUGGUCUAACUAACUCCUAAAGGUUGGAAAAGAGUUCCUACAAAGGUUUUGGACAGUGAUUUUAACCCCAACGCCAAAAACCUUAAACCUACCCUACCCCCAUAACCUAAUAUUACCUUACCUUCAGGAAGCCUGAAAACCCCAAAUAUUUUUUUUCUUUUUUCUUUUUUUUUUUGGUCCAACUAACUCCAAAAGGUUGGAAAAGAGUUCCUACAAAGGUUUUGGACAGUGAUUUUAACCCUAACGCCAAAAACCUUAAACCUUACCCUAGCCCCAAAACCUAAUACCCGGGUAUUACCUUCAGGAAGUCCGAACACCCCAAAUAUUUUUUUUCAUUUUACAUUUUGUUUUGGUGUAACCAACCUCAAAAGGUCUGAAACAUGUUCCUAAAAAGGUUUUGGACAGUGAUUUUAGCCCUCACGCCAAAAACCUUAAAUCUUAUCAUAGCCCCAUAACCUAAUACCCGGGUAUUACCUUCAGGAAGCCCUAACACCCCAAAUAUUUUUUUUUUUCAUUUUUCUUUUUUUUUUUUUUGGUGUAACUAACUCCAAAAGGUUGGAAAAGAGUUCCUACAAAGGUUUUGGACAGUGAUUUUAACCCCAACGCAGAAAACCUUAAACCUACCCAAGCCCCAUAACCUAUUACCCGGGUAUUACCUUCAGGAAGCCCGAAAACCCCAAAUAUUUUUUUUCUUUGUUCUUUUUUUUUUUGGUCUAACUAACUCCAAAAGGUUGGAAAAGAGUUCCUACAAAGGUUUUGGACAGUGAUUUUAACCCCAACGCCAAAAACGUUAAACCUUACCCUAGCCCCAAAACCUAAUACCUUCAGGAAGCCCGAAAACCCCAAAUGUUUUUUUUCUUUUUUCUUUUUUCUGGUAUAACUAACUCCAAAAGGUUGGAAAAGAGUUCCUACAAAGGUUUUGAACAGUGAUUUUAACCCUAACGCCAAAAACCUAAGACCUUUCCAAAGUCCCAUAACCUAAUACCUGGGAAUUACCUUCAGGAAGCCCGAACACCCCAAAUAUUUUUGUUUCAUUGUUCAUUUUUUUUUGGUCUAACUAACUCCGAAAGGUUGGAAAAGAGUUCCUACAGAGGAUUUGGAUAGUGAUUUUGACCCUAAUGCCAAAAACCUUAAACCUUACCCUAGCCCCAAAACCCAAUACCCGGGUAUUACCUUCAGGAAGCCCGAAAACCCCAAAUAUUUUUUUUUCAUUUUUCAUUAUUAUUUGGUCUAACUAACUCCAAAAUGUUGGGAAAGAUUUCCUACAAAGGUUUUGGACAGUGAUUUUGACCCUAACGCCAAAAACGUUAAACCUUACCCUAGCCCCAAAAUCUUAUACCCGGGUAUUACCUUCAGGAAGCCUGAACACUCCAAAUAUUUUUUUUUUCAUUUUUCGUUAUUUUUUGGUCUAACUAACUCCAAAAGGUUGGAAAAGAGUUCCAAAAAAGGUUUUGGACAGUGAUUUUAACCCUAACGCCAAAAACCUUAAACCUUACCCUAGCCCCAUAACCUAAUACGGGUAUUACCUUCAGGAAGCCCGAAAACCCCAAAUAUAUUUUUUUCUUUUUUCUUUUUUUUUUGGUCUAACCAUCUCCAAAAGGUUGGAAAAGAGUUCCUACAAAGGUUUUGGACAGUGAUUUUAACCCUAACGCCAAAAACCUUAAACUUUACCCUAGCCCCAAAACCUAAUACGCGGGUAUUACCUUCAGGAAGCCCGAAAACCCAAAAUAUUUUUUUUUCAUUUUUCAUUAUUAUUUGGUGUAACUAACUCCUAAAGGUUGGAAAAGAGUUCCUACAAAGGUUUUGGACAGUUAUUUUAACCCUAACGCCAAAAACCUUAAACCUUCCCCUAGCCCCAUAACCGAAUACCCGUGUAAUACCUUCAGGAAGCCCGAAAACCCCAAAUAUUUUUUUUCUUUUUUCUUUUUUUUUUUUGGUCUAACUAAAUUCAAAAGGUUGGAAAAGAGUUCCUACAAAGGUUUUGGACAGUGAUUUUAACCCUAACGCCAAAAACCUUAAACCUUCCCCUAGCCCCAAAACCUAAUACCUUCAGGAAGCCCGAAAACACCAAAUAUUUUUUUUUCAUUUUUCAUUGUUUUUUUUGGUCUAACUAAAUCCAAAAGGUUGGAAAAGAGUUCCUACAAAGGUUUUGGACAGUGAUUUUAACCCUAACGCCAAAAACCUUAAACCUUCCCCUAGCCCCAAAACCUAAUACCUUCAGGAAGCCCGAAAACACCAAAUAUUUUUUUUCUUUUUUCUUUUUUUUUUGGUCUAACUAACUCCAAAAGGUUGGAAAAGAGUUCCUACAAAGGUUUUGGACAGUGAUUUUAACCCCAACGCAGAAAACCUUAAACCUACCCAAGCCCCAUAACCUAUUACCCGGAUAUUACCUUCAGGAAGCCUGAAAACACAAAAUAUAUUUUUUUUAUUUUUCAUUUUUUUUUGGUGUAACUAACUCCAAAAGGUUGGAAAAGAGUUCCUAAAAAGGUUUUGGACAGUGAUUUUGACCCUAACGCCAAAAACGUUAAACCUUACCCUAGCCCCAAAACCUAAUACCUUCAGGAAGCCCGAAAACCCCAAAUAUUUUUUUUUCAUUUUUCAUUUUUUUUUUGGUCUAACUAACUCCAAAAGGUUGGAAAAGAGUUCCUACAAAGGUUUUGGACAGUGAUUUUAACCCUAACGCCAAAAACCUUAAACCUUACCCUAGCCCCAAAACCUAUUACCUUCAGGAAGCCCGGAAACCCCAAAUAUUUUUUUUUCAUUUUUCUUUUUUUUUUUUUUGGUGUAACUAACUCCAAAAGGUUGGAAAAGAGUUCCUACAAAGGUUUUGGACAGUGAUUUUAACCCCAACGCAGAAAACCUUAAACCUACCCAAGCCCCAUAACCUAUUACCCGGGUAAUACCUUCAGGAAGCUCGAAAACCCCAAAUAUUUUUUUUCUUUGUUCUUUUUUUUUUUGGUCUAACUAACUCCAAAAGGUUGGAAAAGAGUUCCUACAAAGGUUUUGGACAGUGAUUUUGACCCUAACGCCAAAAACCUUAAACCUUACCAUAGCCCCAAAACCAAAUACCCGGGUAUUACCUUCAGGAAGCCCGAAUACCCCAAAUAUUUUUUUUUCAUUUUUCAUUAUUAUUUGGUCUAACUAACUCCAAAAGGUUGGAAAAGAGUUCCUACAAAGGUUUUGGACAGUGAUUUUAACCCUAACGCCAAAAACCUUAAACCUUUCCCUAGCCCCAAAACCUAAUACCCGGGUAUUACCUUCAGGAAGCCCGAGAACCCCAAAUAUUUUUUUUUUCUUUUUUUUUUGGUCUAACUUACUCCAAAAGGUUGGAAAAGAGUUUCUACAAAGAUUUUGGACAGUGAUUUUAACCCCAAUGCCAAAAACCUUAAACCUAACCUAGCCCCAUAUUUUUUUUCAUUUUACAUUUUGUUUUGGUGUAACCAACCUCAAAAGGUCUGAAACAUGUUCAUAAAAGGUUUUGGACAGUGAUUUUAGCCCUCAAGCCAAAAACCUUAAAUCUUACCAUAGCCCCAUAACCUAAUACAGGUAUUACCUUCAGGAAGCCCGAAUACCCCAAAUAUUUUUUUUUCAUUUUUCAUUUUUGUUUUUGGUGUAACUAACUCACAAAUGUUGGAAAAGAGUUCCUACAAAGGUUUUGGACAGUGAUUUUGACCCUAACGCCAAAAACCUUAAACCUUACCCUAGCCCCAUAACCUAUUACCUUCAGGAAGCCCGAAUACCCCAAAUAUUUUUUUUUUCAUUUUUCAUUAUUAUUUGGUCUAACUAACUCCAAAAGGUUGGAAAAGAGUUCCUACCAAGGUUUUGGACAGUGAUUUUACCCCAACGCCAAAAACCUUAAACCUAACCUAGCCCCAUAACCUAAUACCCGGGUAAUACCUUCAGGAAGCCGGAAAACCCCAAAUAUUUUUUUUCUUUUUUCUUUUUUUUUUUUUGGUCUAACUAACUCCAAAAGGUUGGAAAAGAGUUCCUACAAAGGUUUUGGACAGUGAUUUUAACCCUAACGCCAAAAACCUUAAACCUUCCCCUAGCCCCAAAACCUAAUACCUUCAGGAAGCCCGAAAACACCAAAUAUAUUUUUUUCAUUUUUCAUUGUUUUUUUUGGUCUAACUAACUCCAAAAGGUUGGAAAAGAGUUCCUACAAAGGUUUUGGACAGUGAUUUUAACCCUAACGCCAAAAACCUUAAACCUUCCCCUAGCCCCAAAACCUAAUACCUUCAGGAAGCCCGAAAACACCAAAUAUUUUUUUUUCAUUUUUCAUUGUUUUUUUUGGUCUAACUAACUCCAAAAGGUUGGAAAAGAGUUCCUACAAAGGUUUUGGACAGUGAUUUUAACCCUAACGCCAAAAACCUUAAACCUUACCCUAGCCCCAUGACCUAAUACCCGGGUAUUACCUUCAGGAAGCCCGAAAACCCCAAAUAUUUUUUUUCUUUUUUCUUUUUUUUUUGGUCUAACUAACUCCAAAAGGUUGGAAAAGAGUUCCUACAAAGGUUUUGGACAGUGAUUUUAACCCUAACGCCAAAAACCUUAAACCUUUACCAAAGCCCCAUAACCUAAUACCCGGGUAUUACCUUCAGGAAGCCCGAAAACCCAAAAUAUAUUUUUUUUAUUUUUCAUUUUUUUUUGGUGUAACUAACUCCAAAAGGUUGGAAAAGAGUUCCUACAAAGGUUUUGGACAGUGAUUUUAACCCUAACGCCAAAAACCUUAAACCUUCCCCUAGCCCCAAAACCUAAUACCUUCAGGAAGCCCGAAAACCCCAAAUAUAUUUUUUUCAUUUUUCAUUGUUUUUUUUGGUCUAACUAAAUCCAAAAGGUUGGAAAAGAGUUCCUACAAAGGUUUUGGACAGUGAUUUUAACCCUAACGCCAAAAACCUUAAACCUUCCCCUAGCCCCAAAACCUAAUACCUUCAGGAAGCCCGAAAACACCAAAUAUUUUUUUUUCAUUUUUCAUUGUUUUUUUUGGUCUAACUAAAUCCAAAAGGUUGGAAAAGAGUUCCUACAAAGGUUUUGGACAGUGAUUUUAACCCCAACGCCAAAAACCUUAAACCUACCCUAGCCCCAUGACCUAAUACCCGGGUAUUACCUUCAGGAAGCCCGAAAACCCCAAAUAUUUUUUUUUCUUUUUUCUUUUUUUUUUGGUCUAACCAUCUCCAAAAGGUUUGAAAAGAGUUCCUACAAAGGUUUUGGACAGUGAUUUUAACCCCAACACAGAAAACCUUAAACCUACCCAAGCCCCAUAACCUAUUACCCGGAUAUUACCUUCAGGAAGCCUGAAAACACAAAAUAUAUUUUUUUUAUUUUUCAUUUUUUUUUGGUGUAACUAACUCCAAAAGGUUGGAAAAGAGUUCCUAAAAAGGUUUUGGACAGUGAUUUUGACCCUAACGCCAAAAACCUUAAACCUUCCCCUCGCCCCAAAACCUAAUACCUUCAGGAAGCCCGAAAACCCCAAAUAUUUUUUUUUCAUUUUUCAUUUUUUUUUUGGUCUAACUAACUCCAAAAGGUUGGAAAAGAGUUCCUACAAAGGUUUUGGACAGUGAUUUUAACCCUAACGCCAAAAACCUUAAACCUUCCCCUAGCCCCAAAACCUAAUACCUUCAGGAAGCCCGGAAACCCCAAAUAUUUUUUUUUCAUUUUUCUUUUUUUUUUUUUUGGUGUAACUAACUCCAAAAGGUUGGAAAAGAGUUCCUACAAAGGUUUUGGACAGUGAUUUUAACCCCAACGCAGAAAACCUUAAACCUACCCAAGCCCCAUAACCUAAUACCCGGGUAUUACCUUCAGGAAGCCCGAAAACCCCAAAUAUUUUUUUUUCAUUUUUCUUUUUUUUUUUUUGGUGUAACUAACUCCAAAAGGUUGGAAAAGAGUUCCUACAAAGGUUUUGGACAGUGAUUUUGACCCUAACGCCAAAAACCUUAAACCUUACCAUAGCCCCAAAACCAAAUACCCGGGUAUUACCUUCAGGAAGCCCGAAUACCCCAAAUAUUUUUUUUUCAUUUUUCAUUAUUAUUUGGUCUAACUAACUCCAAAAGGUUGGAAAAGAGUUCCUACAAAGGUUUUGGACAGUGAUUUUAACCCUAACGCCAAAAACCUUAAACCUUUCCCUAGCCCCAAAACCUAAUACCCGGGUAUUACCUUCAGGAAGCCCGAACACCCCAAAUAUUUUUUUUUUCAUUUUUCGUUAUUUUUUGGUCUAACUAACUCCAAAAGGUCUGAAACAUGUUCCUUAAAAGGUUUUGGAUAGUGAUUUUAACCCUAACGCCAAAAACCUUAAACCUUACCCUAGCCCCAUAACCAAAUACCCGGGUAUUACCUUCAGGAAGCCCGAAAACCCCAAAUAUUUUUUUUUUCUUUUUUUUUUGGUCUAACUUACUCCAAAAGGUUGGAAAAGAGUUUCUACAAAGAUUUUGGACAGUGAUUUUAACCCCAAUGCCAAAUACCUUAAACCUAACCUAGCCCCAUAUUUUUUUUCAUUUUACAUUUUGUUUUGGUGUAACCAACCUCAAAAGGUCUGAAACAUGUUCAUAAAAGGUUUUGGACAGUGAUUUUAGCCCUCAAGCCAAAAACCUUAAAUCUUACCAUAGCCCCAUAACCUAAUACAGGUAUUACCUUCAGGAAGCCCGAAUACCCCAAAUAUUUUUUUUUCAUUUUUCAUUUUUGUUUUUGGUGUAACUAACUCACAAAUGUUGGAAAAGAGUUCCUACAAAGGUUUUGGACAGUGAUUUUGACCCUAACGCCAAAAACCUUAAACCUUACCCUAGCCCCAUAACCUAUUACCUUCAGGAAGCCCGAAUACCCCAAAUAUUUUUUUUUUCAUUUUUCAUUAUUAUUUGGUCUAACUAACUCCAAAAGGUUGGAAAAGAGUUCCUACCAAGGUUUUGGACAGUGAUUUUACCCCAACGCCAAAAACCUUAAACCUAACCUAGCCCCAUAACCUAAUACCCGGGUAAUACCUUCAGGAAGCCGGAAAACCCCAAAUAUUUUUCUUCUUUUUUCUUUUUUUUUUUUGGUCUAACUAACUCCAAAAGGUUGGAAAAGAGUUCCUACAAAGGUUUUGGACAGUGAUUUUAGCCCUCACGCCAAAAACCUUAAAUCUUACCAUAGCCCCAUAACCUAAUAUGGGUAUUACCUUCAGGAAGCCCAAAUACCCCAAAUAUUUCUUUUUCAUUUUUCAUUUUUUUUUUUGGUGUAACUAACUCCAAAAGGUUGGAAAAGAGUUCCUACAAAGGUUUUGGACAGUGAUUUUGACCCUAACGCCAAAAACGUUAAACCUUACCCUAUUCCCAAAACCUAAUACCUUCCGGAAGCCCGAAAACCCCAAUUUUUUUAGGGCCCGAGCGUAGCUGCUAAGCAGCUGCGAGAGCCCUAUUGUUCCUGUAUGGGUUUUUCUUUCUUCUUUCUUUCUUCUUCUUUUUCCUCCCCUUUGAACUGGAAAAUGGCCCACUUCCCACUGGCGAAAACUCAUGAAAUUUGGCAGGACGACCGGGCCUGGUGAAAAAUUCGAUAUUCUGAAGUCGCCCAAACAAUAAAAUGCAAAACGGCUCCAUAGCGCCCCCUAAGGUGAAAAUUCACACUAUUGACUGUCACGCCUGUACGCUUUGUCAUAUUGACACAAAAAUUGACACACAGAUGUAUCUCAAUAAGAUCUACAAAAAAGUCAGUGCGGGCGUAUCUGUCAAAUGUACGGUUAAAGGGUUAUUUCGCAUUUUUUGCAAAUCUGCACACAUUGGAAUUUCGCUAACUCCUCUGAAGGCUUUCGUUCCACUGGCACCACAUUUGCUCAGGCCAAUCUACACCCCAUGGCCAUUAAAAGUUGUACAAAUCAUGACGCUGCACCCCACGGUUUAGGUUCUAGGGGGCGCCAAAGAUAACCCAAAAAUCCACAGUCUUAAAAGUCUUAUAACUUUUUAUUUUUGUCCUCACUGGCCUCCAAGUUCUCUAGGAUGAUGCAAUGUCCAGCAAUUAACACAUUUGUGAAGGAAUUUUUACUCGCCAAAAGAGCGCCCCCCCAUGGCAGGAGAAAAAAGUCCAUUUUUUCUUGUCCCCUAAGGCGAAAAUACACAUUGUUGAGUGUCACGCCUGUACGCUUUGUCAUAUUGACACAAAAUUUGACAAUCAAGUGUAUCUCAAUAAGAUCUACGAAAAAGUCAAUGUGCGCGUAUCUGUAAAAUGUAUGGUUAAAGGGCUAUUUCGCAUUUUUUGCCGAUUCGCACACAUUGGAAUGUGGCUAACUCCUCCUAAAGCUUUCGUCCCACUGACACCACAUUUGCUCAGGCAAAUCUACACCCCAUGGCUAUUCAAAGUUGUAAAAAUCAUGACGCUGCACCCCACGGUUUACGUUCUAGGGGGCGCCAAAGAGGACCCAAAUAUCCACAUUUUUAAAAGUCUUAUAACUUUUUAUUUUUGUCCUCACUGGCCUCCAAGUUUUCUAGGAUGAUGCAAUGUCCAGCCAUCAGCACAUGUGUGAAGGAAUUUUUACUCCCUAAAAGAGCGCCCCCCCAUGGCAGGAGAAAAAAGUCCAUUGUUUCUUUACCCCUAAGGUAAAAAUACACAUUGUUGAGUGUCACACCUAUACGCUUUGUCAUAUUGACACAAAAUUUGACAAUCAAGUGUAUCUCAAUAAGAUCUACGAAAAAGUCAAUGCAGGCGUAUCUGUCAAAUGUACGGUUAAAGGGCUAUUUCGCAUUUUUUGCCAAUUCGCACACAUUUGAAUGUGGCUAACUCCUCCUAAAGCUUUCGUCCCAUCGGCACCAAAUUUGCUCAGGCCAAUCUACACCCCAUGGCCAUUCAAAGUUGUAAAAAUCAUGAUGCUGCACCCCACGGUUUACGUUCUAGGGGGCGCCAAAGAUAACCCAAAAAUCCACAUUUUCAAAAGUCUUAUAACUUUUUAUUUUUGUCCUCACUGGCCUCCAAGUUUUCUGGGAUAAUGCAAUGUUCAGCCAUCAACACAAUUGUGAAGGAAUUUUUACUCCCCAAAAGAGCGUCCCCCCAUGGCCGGAGAAAAAGUCAAGUUGUUCCUGCCCAUCGCUCAAUGGCUUAAACGCAUUGGUCUCUCGGCAAAACCGAAAGGAGGAGCAACUUGCCAUUUGGAUAUAUCUUAGCUGUGUUUGUGCCCUCACUCAUGUUCCAGACUUUUUUCAAAUAGGACAUGGAGUUUGUCUGCAGCGAGCGUUUUGGUAGAAACUGCGUUUCCCAUUCAUUAUAAUGGGAAAUGACCACAGACAAGUGCGCACACCAUCUUUGGACCUUGAGUGUGACGCGAUCGGGAGGGGUAGGCGGUCGCGCUGGGGGCGGCGCGACACGGCUCGGGCCCGCCAGUGCCCCAACGGGGCCCUAGUGUUUUUCUUUUUUCUUUUUUUUUUGGUCUAACUAUCUCCAAAAGGUUGGAAUAGAGUUCCUACAAAGGUUUUGGACAGUGAUUUUAACCCCAACGCCAAAAACCUUAAACCUUCCCCUAGCCCCAAAACCUAAUACAUUCAGGAAGCCCGAAAACCCCAAAUAUUUUUUUUUCAUUUUUCAUUUUUUUUUUGGUGUAACUAACUCCAAAAGGUUGGAAAAGAGUUCAUACAAAGGUUUUGGACAGUGAUUUUAACCCCAAUGCCAAAAACCUUAAACCUACCCUAGCCCCAUAACCUAAUUCCUGGGUAAUACCUUCAGGAAGCCCGAAAACCCCAAAUAUUUUUUUUCUUUUUUCUUUUAUUUUUGGUCUAACUAACUCCAAAAGGUUGGAAAAGAGUUCCUACAAAGGUUUUGGACAGUGAUUUUAACCCCAACGCCAAAAACCUUAAACCUACCCUAGCCCCAUAAACUAAUACCCGGGUAUUACCUUCAGGAAGCCCGAACACCCCAAAUAUUUUUUUUUUUCAUUUUUCGUUAUUUUUUGGUCCAACUAACUCCAAAAGGUCUGAAACAUGUUCCAAAAAAGGUUUUGGACAGUGAUUUUAACCCCAACGCCAAAAACCUUAAACCUACCCUAGCCCCAUAACCUAAUACCCGGGUAAUACCUUCAGGAAGCCCGAAAACCCCAAAUAUUUUUUUUCUUUUUUCUUUUUUUUUUGGUCUAACUAACUCCAAAAGGUUGGAAAAGAGUUCCUACAAAGUUUUGGACAGUGAUUUUAACCCUAACGCCAAAAACCUUAAACCAUCCCCUAUCCCAAAACCUAAUACCUUCAGGAAGCCCGAAAACCCCAAAUAUUUUAUUUUCAUUUUUCAUUUUUUUUUUUUUGGUGUAACUAACUCCAAAAGGUUGGAAAAGAGUUCCUACAAAGGUUUUGGACAGUGAUUUUAACCCCAACGCCAAAAACCUUAAACCUACCCUAGCCCCAUAACCUAAUACCCGGGUAAUACGUUCAGGAAGCCCGAAAACCCCAAAUUUUUUUUUUUCAUUUUUCAUUGUUUUUUUUCGGUGUAACUUACUCCAAAAGGUUGGAAAAGAGUUCCUACAAAGGUUUUGGACAGUGAUUUUAACCCUAACGCCAAAAACAUUAAACCUUACCCUAGCCCCAAAACCUAAUACGCGGGUAUUACCUUCAGGAAGCCCGAAAACCCCAAAUAUUUAUUUUCAUUUUUCAUUAUUAUUUGGUCUAACUAACUCCAAAAUGUUGGAAAAGAGUUCCUACAAAGGUUUUGGACAGUGAUUUUAACCCUAACGCCAAAAACCUUAAAACUUCCCCUAGCCCCAAAACCUAAUACCCGGGUAAUACCUUCAGGAAGCCCGAAAACCCCAAAUAUUUUUUUUUCAUUUUUCAUUGUUUUUUUUCGGUCUAACUUACUCCAAAAGGUUGGAAAAGAGUUCCUACAAAGGUUUUGGACUGUGAUUUUAACCCCAACGCCAAAAGCCUUAAACCUACCCUAGCCCCAUAACCUAAUACCUUUAGGAAGCCCGAAAACCCCAAAUAUUUUUUUUUCAUUUUUAAUUAUUAUUUGGUCUAACUAACUCCAAAAUGUUGGAAAAGAGUUCCUACAAAGGUUUUGGACAGUGAUUUUAACCCUAACGCCAAAAACCUUAAACCUUCCUGUAGCCCCAAAACCUAAUACCUUCAGGAAUCCCGAAAACCCCAAAUAUUUUUUUUUCAUUUUUCAUUGUUUUUUUUGGUGUAACUAUCUCAAAAAGGUUGGAAAAGAGUUCCUACAAAGGUUUUGGACAGUGAUUUUAACCCCAACGCCAAAAACGUUAAACCUACCCUAGCCCCAUAACCUAAUAUCGGGUAAUACCUUCAGGAAGCCCGAAAACCCCAAAUAUUUUUUUUCUUUUUAUUUUGGUCUAACUAACUCCAAAAGGUUGGAAAAGAGUUCCUACAAAGGUUUUGGACAGUGAUUUUAACCCUAACGCCAAAAACAUUAAACCUUACCCUAGCCCCAAAACCUAAUAUCGGGUAAUACCUUCAGGAAGCCCGAAAACCCCAAAUAUUUUUUUUUCAUUUUUCAUUAUUAUUUGGUCUAACUAACUCCAAAAUGUUGGAAAAGAGUUCCUACAAAGGUUUUGGACAGUGAUUUUAACCCUAACGCCAAAAACCUUAAACCUUCCCCUAGCCCCAAAACCUAAUACCCGGGUAAUACCUUCAGGAAGCCCGAAAACCCCAAAUAUUUUUUUUUCAUUUUUCAUUGUUUUUUUUCGGUCUAACUUACUCCAAAAGGUUGGAAAAGAGUUCCUACAAAGGUUUUGGACUGUGAUUUUAACCCUAACGCCAAAAACCUUAAACCAUCCCCUAUCCCAAAACCUAAUACCUUCAGGAAGCCCGAAAACCCCAAAUAUUUUAUUUUCAUUUUUCUUUUUUUUUUUUUUUGGUGUAACUAACUCCAAAAGGUUGGAAAAGAGUUCCUACAAAGGUUUUGGACAGUGAUUUUAACCCCAACGCCAAAAACCUUAAACCUACCCUAGCCCCAUAACCUAAUACCCGGGUAAUACGUUCAGGAAGCCCGAACACCCCAAAUAUUUUUUUUUUUUCAUUUUUCGUUAUUUUUUGGUCUAACUAACUCCAAAAGGUCUGAAACAUGUUCCUUAAAAGGUUUUGGACAGUGAUUUUAACCCUAACGCCAAAAACCUUAAACCUUACCCUAGCCCCAUAACCUAAUACCCGGGUAUUACCUUCAGGAAGCCCGAAAACCCCAAAUAUUUUUUUUCAUUUUUCAUUUUUUUUAUUUUUUGGUGUAACUAACUCCAAAAGGUUGGAAAAGAGUUCCUACAAAGGUUUUGGACAGUGAUUUUGAGCCUAACGCCAAAAACCUUAAACCUUACCAUAGCCCCAAAACCAAAUACCCAGGUAUUACCUUCAGGAAGCCCGAAUACCCCAAAUAUUAUUUUUUCAUUUUUCAUUAUUAUUUGGUCUAACUAACUCCAAAAGGUUGGAAAAGAGUUCCUACAAAGGUUUUGGACAGUGAUUUUAACCCUAACGCCAAAAACCUUAAACCUUUCCCUAGCCCCAAAACCUAAUACCCGGGUAUUACCUUCAGGAAGCCCGAAAACCCCAAAUAUUUUUUUUCUUUUCUUUUUUUUUUGGUCUAACUUACUCCAAAAGGUCUGAAACAUGUUCCUAAAAAGGUUUUGGACAGUGAUUUUAACCCUAACGCCAAAAACCUUAAACCUUAAACCUUACCCUAGCCCCAUAACCUUUCGGAAGCCCGAAAACCCCAAAUAUUUUUUUUUCUUUUCUUUUUUUUUUUUGGUCUAACUAACUCCAAAAGGUUGGAAAAGAGUUCCUACAAAGGUUUUGGACAGUGAUUUUGACCCUAACGCCAAAAACCUUAAACCUUUCCCUAGCCCCAAAACCUAAUACCCGGGUAUUACCUUCAGGUAGCCCGAAAACCCCAAAUAUUUUUUUCUUUUCUUUUUUUUUUUGGUCUAACUUACUCCAAAAGGUCUGAAACAUGUUCCUAAAAGGUUUUGGACAGUGAUUUUAACCCUAACGCCAAAAACCUUAAACCUUAAACCUUACCCUAGCCCCAUAACCUUUCGGAAGCCCGAAAACCCCAAAUAUUUUUUUUCUUUUCUUUUUUUUUUUGUCUAACUAACUCCAAAAGGUUGGAAAAGAGUUCCUACAAAGGUUUUGGACAGUGAUUUUGACCCUAACGCCAAAAACCUUAAACCUUACCAUAGCCCCAAAACCAAAUACCCGGGUAUUACCUUCAGGAAGCCCGAAUACCCCAAAUAUUUUUUUUUCAUUUUUCAUUAUUAUUUGGUCUAACUAACUCCAAAAGGUUGGAAAAGAGUUCCUACAAAGGUUUUGGACAGUAAUUUUAACCCUAACGCCAAAAACCUUAAACCUUUUCCUAGCCCCAUAACCUAAUACCCGGGUAUUACCUUCAGGAAGCCCGAAUACCCCAAAUAUUUUUUUUUCAUUUUUCAUUAUUAUUUGGUCUAACUAACUCCAAAAGGUUGGAAAAGAGUUCCUACAAAGGUUUUGGACUGUGAUUUUGAGCCUAACGCCAAAAACCUUAAACCUUACCAUAGCCCCAAAACCAAAUACCCGGGUAUUACCUUCAGGAAGCCCGAAUACCCCAAAUAUUUUUUUUUCAUUUUUCAUUAUUAUUUGGUCUAACUAACUCCAAAAGGUUGGAAAAGAGUUCCUACAAAGGUUUUGGACAGUGAUUUUAACCCUAACGCCAAAAACCUUAAACCUUUCCCUAGCCCCAAAACCUAAUACCCGGGUAUUACCUUCAGGAAGCCCGAAAACCCCAAAUAUUUUUUUUCUUUUCUUUUUUUUGGUCUAACUUACUCCAAAAGGUCUGAAACAUGUUCCUAAAAAGGUUUUGGACAGUGAUUUUAACCCUAACACCAAAAACCUUAAACCUUACCCUAGCCCCAUAACCUAAUACCCGGGUAUUACCUUCAGGAAGCCCGAAAACCCCAAAUAUUUUUUUUUCUUUUCUUUUUUUUUUUUUGGUCUAACUAACUCCAAAAGGUUGGAAAAGAGUUCCUACAAAGGUUUUGGACAGUGAUUUUGACCCUAACGCCAAAAACGUUAAACCUUACCUUAGCCCCAAAACGUAAUACGGGUAUUACCUUCAGGAAGCCCGAAGACCCCAAGUAUUUUUUUUUUCAUUUUUCGUUAUUUUUUUGGUCUAACUAACUCCAAAAGGUCUGAAACAUGUUCCAAAAAAGGUUUUGGACAGUGAUUUUAACCCUAACGGCAAAAACCUUAAACCUUACCCUAGCCCCAUAACCUAAUACGGGUAUUACCUUCAGGAAGCCGGAAAACCCCAAAUAUUUUUUUUUCUAUUUUCUUUUUUUUUGGUCUAACCAUCUCCAAAAGGUUUGAAAAGAGUUCCUACAAAGGUUUUGGACAGUGAUUUUAACCCUAACGCCAAAAACCUUAAACCUUCCCCUAGCCCCAUAACCUAAUACCCGGGUAAUACCUUCAGGAAGCCCGAAAACCCCAAAUAUUUUUUUUCUUUGUUCUUAUUUUUUUGGUCUAACUAACUCCAAAAGGUUGGAAAAGAGUUCCUACAAAGGUUUUGGACAGUGAUUUUGACCCUAACGCCAAAAACCUUAAACCUUACCCUAGCCCCAAAACCAAAUACCCGGGUAUUACCUUCAGGAAGCCCGAAAACCCCAAAUAUUUUUUUUUCAUUUUUCAUUAUUAUUUGGUCUAACUAACUCCAAAAGGUUGGAAAAGAGUUCCUACAAAGGUUUUGGACAGUGAUUUUAACCCUAACGCCAAAAACCUUAAACCUUUCCCUAGCCCCAAAACCUAAUACCCGGGUAUUACCUUCAGGAAGCCCGAAAACCCCAAAUAUUUUUUUUCUUUUCUUUUUUUUGGUCUAACUUACUCCAAAAGGUUGGAAAAGAGUUCCUACAAAGGUUUUGGACAGUGAUUUUGACCCUAACGCCAAAAACCUUAAACCUUACCCUAGCCCCAAAACCAAAUACCCGGGUAUUACCUUCAGGAAGCCCGAAAACCCCAAAUAUUUUUUUCAUUUUUUUUAUUUUUGGUCUAACUAACUCCAAAAGGUUGGAAAAGAGUUCCUACAAAGGUUUUGGACAGUGAUUUUAACCCUAACGCCAAAAACCUUAAACCUUACCCUAGCCCCAAAACCUAAUACCCGGGUAUUACCUUCAGGAAGCCCGAAAACCCCAAAUAUUUUUUUUUCUUUUCUUUUUUUUUUGGUCUAACUAACUCCAAAAGGUUGGAAAAGAGUUCCUACAAAGGUUUUGGACAGUGAUUUUAACCCUAACGCCAAAAACCUUAAACCUUACCCUAGCCCCAUAACCAAAUACCCGGGUAUUACCUUCAGGAAGCCUGAAAACCCCAAAUAUUUUUUUUUCUUUUUUUUUUUGGUCUAACUUACUCCAAAAGGUUGCAAAAGAGUUUCUACAAGGGUUUUGGACAGUGAUUUUAACCCCAACGCCAAAAACCUUAAACCUUACCCUAGCCCCAAAACCUAACACGCGGGUAUUACCUUCAGGAAGCCCGAAAACCCCAAAUAUUUUUUUUUCUUUUCUUUUUUUUUUUGGUCUAACUUACUCCAAAAGGUCUGAAACAUGUUCCUUAAAAGGUUUUGGACAGUGAUUUUAACCCUAACGCCAAAAACCUUAAACCUUUCCCUAGCCCCAAAACCUAAUACCCGGGUAUUACCUUCAGGAAGCCCGAAAACCCCAAAUAUUUUUUUUUCUUUUCUUUUUUUUUUUGGUCUAACUAACUCCAAAAGGUUGGAAAAGAGUUCCUACAAAGGUUUUGGACAGUGAUUUUAACCCUAACGCCAAAAACCUUAAACCUUACCCUAGCCCCAUAACCAAAUACCCGGGUAUUACCUUCAGGAAGCCCGAAAACCCCAAAUAUUUUUUUUUCUUUUUUUUUUGGUCUAACUUACUCCAAAAGGUUGGAAAAGAGUUUCUACAAGGGUUUUGGACAGUGAUUUUAACCCCAACGCCAAAAACCUUAAACCUUACCCUAGCCCCAAAACCUAAUACGCGGGUAUUACCUUCAGGAAGCCCGAAAACCCCAAAUAUUUUUUUUUUCAUUUUUUAUAAUUUUUUUGGUGUAACUAUCUCCAAAAUGUUGGGAAAGAGUUCCUACAAAGGUUUUGGACAGUGAUUUUAACCCUAACGCCAAAAACCUUAAACCUUCCCCUAGCCCCAAAACCUAAUACCUUCAGGAAGCCCGAAAACCCCAAAUAUUUUUUUUUCAUUUUUCAUUUUUUUUUGGUCUAACUAACUCCAAAAGGUUGGAAAAGAGUUCCUAAAAAGGUUUUGGACAGUGAUUUUGACCCUAACGCCAAAAACCUUAAACCUUACCCUAGCCCCAAAACCUAAUACCCGGGUAUUUCCUUCAGGAAGCCCGAACACCCCAAAUAUAUUUUUUUUCAUUUUUCGUUAUUUUUUGGUCUAACUAACUCCAAAAGGUCUGAAACAUGUUCCUUAAAAGGUUUUGGACAGUGAUUUUAACCCUAACGCCAAAAACCUUAAACCUUACCCUAGCCCCAUAACCUAAUACCCGGGUAUUACCUUCAGGAAGCCCGAAAACCCCAAAUAUUUUUCUUCUUUUUUCUUUUUUUUUUUUGGUCUAACUAACUCCAAAAGGUUGGAAAAGAGUUCCUACAAAGGUUUUGGACAGUGAUUUUAGCCCUCACGCCAAAAACCUUAAAUCUUACCAUAGCCCCAUAACCUAAUAUGGGUAUUACCUUCAGGAAGCCCAAAUACCCCAAAUAUUUCUUUUUCAUUUUUCUUUUUUUUUUUUGGUGUAACUAACUCCAAAAGGUUGGAAAAGAGUUCCUACAAAGGUUUUGGACAGUGAUUUUGACCCUAACGCCAAAAACGUUAAACCUUACCCUAUUCCCAAAACCUAAUACCUUCCGGAAGCCCGAAAACCCCAAUUUUUUUAGGGCCCGAGCGUAGCUGCUAAGCAGCUGCGACAGCCCUAUUGUUCCUGUAUGGGUUUUUCUUUCUUCUUUCUUUCUUCUUCUUUUUCCUCCCCUUUGAACUGGAAAAUGGCCCACUUCCCACUGGCGAAAACUCAUGAAAUUUGGCAGGACGACCGGGCCUGGUGAAAAAUUCGAUAUUCUGAAGUCGCCCAAACAAUAAAAUGCAAAACGGCUCCAUAGCGCCCCCUAAGGUGAAAAUUCACACUAUUGACUGUCACGCCUGUACGCUUUGUCAUAUUGACACAAAAAUUGACACACAGAUGUAUCUCAAUAAGAUCUACAAAAAAGUCAGUGCGGGCGUAUCUGUCAAAUGUACGGUUAAAGGGUUAUUUCGCAUUUUUUGCAAAUCUGCACACAUUGGAAUUUCGCUAACUCCUCUGAAGGCUUUCGUUCCACUGGCACCACAUUUGCUCAGGCCAAUCUACACCCCAUGGCCAUUAAAAGUUGUACAAAUCAUGACGCUGCACCCCACGGUUUAGGUUCUAGGGGGCGCCAAAGAUAACCCAAAAAUCCACAGUCUUAAAAGUCUUAUAACUUUUUAUUUUUGUCCUCACUGGCCUCCAAGUUCUCUAGGAUGAUGCAAUGUCCAGCAAUUAACACAUUUGUGAAGGAAUUUUUACUCGCCAAAAGAGCGCCCCCCCCCAUGGCAGGAGAAAAAAGUCCAUUUUUUCUUGUCCCCUAAGGCGAAAAUACACAUUGUUGAGUGUCACGCCUGUACGCUUUGUCAUAUUGACACAAAAUUUGACAAUCAAGUGUAUCUCAAUAAGAUCUACGAAAAAGUCAAUGUGCGCGUAUCUGUAAAAUGUAUGGUUAAAGGGCUAUUUCGCAUUUUUUGCCGAUUCGCACACAUUGGAAUGUGGCUAACUCCUCCUAAAGCUUUCGUCCCACUGACACCACAUUUGCUCAGGCAAAUCUACACCCCAUGGCUAUUCAAAGUUGUAAAAAUCAUGACGCUUCACCCCACGGUUUACGUUCUAGGGGGCGCCAAAGAGGACCCAAAUAUCCACAUUUUUAAAAGUCUUAUAACUUUUUAUUUUUGUCCUCACUGGCCUCCAAGUUUUCUAGGAUGAUGCAAUGUCCAGCCAUCAGCACAUGUGUGAAGGAAUUUUUACUCCCUAAAAGAGAGCCCCCCCAUGGCAGGAGAAAAAAGUCCAUUGUUUCUUUACCCCUAAGGUAAAAGUACACAUUGUUGAGUGUCACACCUAUACGCUUUGUCAUAUUGACACAAAUUUUGACAAUCAAGUGUAUCUCAAUAAGAUCUACGAAAAAGUCAAUGCAGGCGUAUCUGUCAAAUGUUCGGUUAAAGGGCUAUUUCGCAUUUUUUGCCAAUUCGCACACAUUUGAAUGUGGCUAACUCCUCCUAAAGCUUUCGUCCCAUCGGCACCAAAUUUGCUCAGGCCAAUCUACACCCCAUGGCCAUUCAAAGUUGUAAAAAUCAUGAUGCUGCACCCCACGGUUUACGUUCUAGGGGGCGCCAAAGAUAACCCAAAAAUCCACAUUUUCAAAAGUCUUAUAACUUUUUAUUUUUGUCCUCACUGGCCUCCAAGUUUUCUGGGAUAAUGCAAUGUUCAGCCAUCAACACAAUUGUGAAGGAAUUUUUACUCCCCAAAAGAGCGUCCCCCCAUGGCCGGAGAAAAAGUCAAGUUGUUCCUGCCCAUCGCUCAAUGGCUUAAACGCAUUGCUCUCUCGGCAAAACCGAAAGGAGGAGCAACUUGCCAUUUGGAUAUAUCUUAGCUGUGUUUGUGCCCUCACUCAUGUUCCAGACUUUUUUCAAAUAGGACAUGGAGUUUGUCUGCAGCGAGCGUUUUGGUAGAAACUGCGCCUCCAAUUCAUUAUAAUGGGAAAUGACCACAGACAAGUGCGCACACCAUCUUUGGACCUUGAGUGUGACGCGAUCGGGAGGGGUAGGCGGUCGCGCUGGGGGCGGCGCGACACGGCUCGGGCCCGCCAGUGCCCCAACGGGGCCCUAGUGUUUUUCUUUUUUUUUUUUUUUUGGUCUAACUAUCUCCAAAAGGUUGGAAUAGAGUUCCUACAAAGGUUUUGGACAGUGAUUUUAACCCCAACGCCAAAAACCUUAAACCUUCCCCUAGCCCCAAAACCUAAUACAUUCAGGAAGCCCGAAAACCCCAAAUAUUUUUUUUUCAUUUUUCAUUUUUUUUUUGGUGUAACUAACUCCAAAAGGUUGGAAAAGAGUUCAUACAAAGGUUUUGGACAGUGACUUUAACCCCAAUGCCAAAAACCUUAAACCUACCCUAGCCCCAUAACCUAAUUCCUGGGUAAUACCUUCAGGAAGCCCGAAAACCCCAAAUAUUUUUUUUCUUUUUUCUUUUAUUUUUGGUCUAACUAACUCCAAAAGGUUGGAAAAGAGUUCCUACAAAGGUUUUGGACAGUGAUUUUAACCCCAACGCCAAAAACCUUAAACCUACCCUAGCCCCAUAAACUAAUACCCGGGUAUUACCUUCAGGAAGCCCGAACACCCCAAAUAUUUUUUUUUUUCAUUUUUCGUUAUUUUUUGGUCCAACUAACUCCAAAAGGUCUGAAACAUGUUCCAAAAAAGGUUUUGGACAGUGAUUUUAACCCUAACGCCAAAAACCUUAAACCUACCCUAGCCCCAUAACCUAAUACCCGGGUAAUACCUUCAGGAAGCCCGAAAACCCCAAAUAUUUUUUUUCUUUUUGCUUUUUUUUUUGGUCUAACUAACUCCAAAAGGUUGGAAAAGAGUUCCUACAAAGUUUUGGACAGUGAUUUUAACCCUAACGCCAAAAACCUUAAACCAUCCCCUAUCCCAAAACCUAAUACCUUCAGGAAGCCCGAAAACCCCAAAUAUUUUAUUUUCAUUUUUCAUUUUUUUUUUUUUUUGGUGUAACUAACUCCAAAAGGUUGGAAAAGAGUUCCUACAAAGGUUUUGGACAGUGAUUUUAACACCAACGCAGAAAACCUUAAACCUACCCAAGCCCCAUAACCUAAUACCCGGGUAAUACCUUCAGGAAGCCCGAAAACCCCAAAUUUUUUUUUUUAUUUUUCAUUUUUUUUUGGUCUAACUUACUCCAAAAGGUUGGAAAAGAGUUCCUACAAAGGUUUUGGACAGUGAUUUUAACCCCAACGCCAAAAACAUUAAACCUUACCCUAGCCCCAAAACCAAAUACGCGGGUAUUACCUUCACGAAGCCCGAAAACCCCAAAUAUUUUUUUUGCAUUUUUCAUUAUUAUUUGGUCUAACUAACUCCAAAAUGUUGGGAAAGAGUUCCUACAAAGGUUUUGGACAGUGAUUUUAACCCUAACACCAAAAACCUUAAACCUUCCCCUAGCCCCAAAACCUAAUACCUUCAGGAAGCCCGAAAACCCCAAAUAUUUUUUCUUCAUUUUUCAUUUUUUAUUGGUCUAACUAACUCCAAAAGGUUGGAAAAGAGUUCCUACAAAGGUUUUGGACAGUGAUUUUGACCCUAACGCCAAAAACGUUAAACCUUACCUUAGCCCCAAAACGUAAUACGGGUAUUACCUUCAGGAAGCCCGAAAACCCCAAAUUUUUUUUUUCUUUUUUCUUUUUUUUUGGUCUAACCAUCUCCAAAAGGUUGGAAAAGAGUUCCUACAAAGAUUUUGGACAGUGAUUUUAACCCUAAUGCCAAAAACCUUAAACCUUCCCCUAGCCCCAAAACCUAAUACCCGGGUAAUACCUUCAGGAAGCCGAAAACCCCAAAUUUUUUUUUUUCAUUUUUCAUUGUUUUUUUUCGGUGAAACUUACUCCAAAAGGUUGGAAAAGAGUUCCUACAAAGGUUUUGGACAGUGAUUUUAACCCUAACGCCAAAAACCUUGGACCUUACCCUAGCCCCAUAACCUAAUACCCGGGUAUUACCUUCAGGAAGCCCGAAAACCCCAAAUACUUUUUUUCUUUUUUCUUUUUUUUUUGGUCUAACUAACUCCAAAAGGUUGGAAAAGAGUUCCUACAAAGGUUUUGGACAGUGAUUUUGACCCAAACGCCAAAAACCUUAAACCUUACCAUAGCCCGAAAACCAAAUACCCGGGUAUUACCUUCAUGAAGCCCGAAUACCCCAAAUAUUUUUUUUUCAUUUUUCAUUAUUAUUUGGUCUAACUAACUCCAAAAGGUUGGAAAAGAGUUCCUACAAAGGUUUUGGACAGUGAUUUUGACCCCAACGCCAAAAACCUUAAACCUACCGUAGCCCCAAAACCUAAUACGCGGGUAUUACCUUCAGGAAGCCCGAACACCCCAAAUAUUUUUUUUUCAUUUUUCGUUAUUUUUUGGUCUUACUAACUGCAAAAGGUCUGAAACAUGUUCCUAAAAAGGUUUUGGACAGUGAUUUUAACCCUAACGCCAAAAACCUUAAACCUUUCCCUAGCCCCAAAACCUAAUACCCGGGUAUUACCUUCAGGAAGCCCGAAAACCCCAAAUAUUUUUUUUUCUUUUCUUUUUUAUUUUUUGGUCUAACUUACUCCAAAAGGUCUGAAACAUGUUCCUUAAAAGGUUUUGGACAGUGAUUUUAACCCUAACGCCAAAAACCUUAAACCUUACCCUAGCCCCAUAACCUAAUACCCGGGUAUUACCUUCAGGAAGCCCGAAAACCCCAAAUAUUUUUUUUCUUUUCUUUUUUUUUUUGGUCUAACUUACUCCAAAAGGUUGGAAAAGAGUUCCUACAAAGGUUUUGGACAGUGAUUUUAACCCCAACGCCAAAAACAUUAAACCUUACCCUAGCCCCAAAACCAAAUACGCGGGUAUUACCUUCACGAAGCCCGAAAACCCCAAAUAUUUUUUUCUUUUUUCUUUUUUUUUUGGUCUAACUAACUCCAAAAGGUUGGAAAAGAGUUCCUACAAAGGUUUUGGACAGUGAUUUUGACCCUAACGCCAAAAACCUUAAACCUUACCAUAGCCCGAAAACCAAAUACCCGGGUAUUACCUUCAGGAAGCCCGAAUACCCCAAAUAUUUUUUUUUCAUUUUUCAUUAUUAUUUGGUCUAACUAACUCCAAAAGGUUGGAAAAGAGUUCCUACAAAGGUUUUGGACAGUGAUUUUGACCCCAACGCCAAAAACCUUAAACCUACCGUAGCCCCAAAACCUAAUACGCGGGUAUUACCUUCAGGAAGCCCGAAAACCCCACAUAUUUUUUUUUCAUUUUUCAUUAUUAUUUAGUCUAACUUACUCCAAAAGGUUGGAAAAGAGUUCCUACAAAAGUUUUGGACAGUGAUUUUAACCCUAACGCCAAAAACGUUAAACCUUCCCCUAGCCCCAAAACCUAAUACGUGGGUAUUACCUUCAGGAAUCCCAAAAACCCCAAAUAUUUUUUUUCUUUUUUCUUUUUUUUUUGGUCUAACUAACUCCAAAAGGUUGGAAAAGAGUUCCUACAAAGGUUUUGGACAGUGAUUUUGACCCUAACGCCAAAAACCUUAAACCUUACCAUAGCCCGAAAACCAAAUACCCGGGUAUUACCUUCAGGAAGCCGGAAUACCCCAAAUAUUUUUUUUUUCAUUUUUCAUUAUUAUUUGGUCUAACUAACUCCAAAAGGUUGGAAAAGAGUUCCUACAAAGGUUUUGGACAGUGAUUUUAUCCCUAACGCCAAAAACCUUAAACCUUUCCCUAGCCCCAAAACCUAAUACCCGGGUAUUACCUUCAGGAAGCCCGAACACCCCAAAUAUUUUUUUUUUCAUUUUUCGUUAUUUUUUGGUCUUACUAACUCCAAAAGGUCUGAAACAUGUUCCUAAAAAGGUUUUGGACAGUGAUUUUAACCCUAACGCCAAAAACCUUAAACCUUUCCCUAGCCCCAAAACCUAAUACCCGGGUAUUACCUUCAGGAAGCCCGAAAACCCCAAAUAUUUUUUUUUCUUUUCUUUUUUAUUUUUUGGUCUAACUUACUCCAAAAGGUCUGAAACAUGUUCCUUAAAAGGUUUUGGACAGUGAUUUUAACCCUAACGCCAAAAACCUUAAACCUUACCAUAGCCCGAAAACCAAAUACCCGGGUAUUACCUUCAGGAAGCCCGAAUACCCCAAAUAUUUUUUUUUUCAUUUUUCAUUAUUAUUUGGUCUAACUAACUCCAAAAGGUUGGAAAAGAGUUCCUACAAAGGUUUUGGACAGUGAUUUUAACCCCAACGCCAAAAACCUUAAACCUUACCCUAGCCCCAUAACCUAAUACCCAGGUAUUACCUUCAGGAAGCCCGAAAACCCCAAAUAUUUUUUUCUUUUUUCUUUUUUUUUGGUCUAACUAACUCCAAAAGGUUGGAAAAGAGUUCCUACAAAGGUUUUGGACAGUGAUUUUGACCCUAACGCCAAAAACCUUAAACCUUACCAUAGCCCGAAAACCAAAUACCCGGGUAUUACCUUCAGGAAGCCCGAAUACCCCAAAUAUUUUUUUUUCAUUUUUCAUUAUUAUUUGGUCUAACUAACUCCAAAAGGUUGGAAAAGAGUUCCUACAAAGGUUUUGGACAGUGAUUUUGACCCCAACGCCAAAAACCUUAAACCUACCGUAGCCCCAAAACCUAAUACGCGGGUAUUACCUUCAGGAAGCCCGAAAACCCCAAAUAUUUUUUUUUCAUUUGUCAUUAUUAUUUUGUCUAACUUACUCCAAAAGGUUGGAAAAGAGUUCCUACAAAAGUUUUGGACAGUGAUUUUAACCCUAACGCCAAAAACCUUAAACCUUCCCCUAGCCCCAAAACCUAAUACGUGGGUAUUACCUUCAGGAAUCCCAAAAACCCAAAAUAUUUUUUUUCUUUUUUCUUUUUUUUUUUUGGUUUAACUAACUCCAAAAGGUUGGAAAAGAGUUCCUACAAAGGUUUUGGACAGUGAUUUUGACCCUAACGCCAAAAACCUUAAACCUUACCAUAGCCCGAAAACCAAAUACCCGGGUAUUACCUUCAGGAAGCCCGAAUACCCCAAAUAUUUUUUUUUUCAUUUUUCAUUAUUAUUUGGUCUAACUAACUCCAAAAGGUUGGAAAAGAGUUCCUACAAAGGUUUUGGACAGUGAUUUUAUCCCUAACGCCAAAAACCUUAAACCUUUCCCUAGCCCCAAAACCUAAUACCCGGGUAUUACCUUCAGGAAGCCCGAACACCCCAAAUAUUUUUUUUUCUUUUCUUUUUUAUUUUUUGGUCUAACUUACUCCAAAAGGUCUGAAACAUGUUCCUUAAAAGGUUUUGGACAGUGAUUUUAACCCUAACGCCAAAAACCUUAAACCUUACCCUAGCCCCAUAACCUAAUACCCGGGUAUUACCUUCAGGAAGCCCGAAAACCCCAAAUAUUUUUUUUUCUUUUCUUUUUUUUUUUGGUCUAACUUACUCCAAAAGGUUGGAAAAGAGUUCCUACAAAGGUUUUGGACAGUGAUUUUAACCCCAACGCCAAAAACAUUAAACCUUACCCUAGCCCCAAAACCAAAUACGCGGGUAUUACCUUCACGAAGCCCGAAAACCCCAAAUAUUUUUUUUUCAUUUUUCAUUGUUUUUUUCGGUGAAACUUACUCCAAAAGGUUGGAAAAGAGUUCCUACAAAGGUUUUGGACAGUGAUUUUAACCCCAACGCCAAAAACCUUAAACCUUACCCUAGCCCCAUAACCUAAUACCCGGGUAUUACCUUAAGGAAGCCCGAAAACCCCAAAUAUUUUUUUCUUUUUUCUUUCUUUUUUGGUCUAACUAACUCCAAAAGGUUGGAAAAGAGUUCCUACAAAGGUUUUGGACAGUGAUUUUGACCCUAACGCCAAAAACCUUAAACCUUACCAUAGCCCGAAAACCAAAUACCCGGGUAUUACCUUCAGGAAGCCCGAAUACCCCAAAUAUUUUUUUUUCAUUUUUCAUUAUUAUUUGGUCUAACUAACUCCAAAAGGUUGGAAAAGAGUUCCUACAAAGGUUUUGGACAGUGAUUUUGACCCCAACGCCAAAAACCUUAAACCUACCGUAGCCCCAAAACCUAAUACGCGGGUAUUACCUUCAGGAAGCCCGAAAACCCCACAUAUUUUUUUUUCAUUUUUCAUUAUUAUUUAGUCUAACUUACUCCAAAAGGUUGGAAAAGAGUUCCUACAAAAGUUUUGGACAGUGAUUUUAACCCUAACGCCAAAAACCUUAAACCUUCCCCUAGCCCCAAAACCUAAUACGUGGGUAUUACCUUCAGGAAUCCCAAAAACCCCAAAUAUUUUUUUUCUUUUUUCUUUUUUUUUUGGUCUAACUAACUCCAAAAGGUUGGAAAAGAGUUCCUACAAAGGUUUUGGACAGUGAUUUUGACCCUAACGCCAAAAACCUUAAACCUUACCAUAGCCCGAAAACCAAAUACGUGGGUAUUACCUUAAGGAAGCCCGAACACCCCAAAUAUUUUUUUUUUCAUUUUUCGUUAUUUUUUGGUCUUACUAACUGCAAAAGGUCUGAAACAUGUUCCUAAAAAGGUUUUGGACAAUGAUUUUAACCCUAACGCCAAAAACCUUAAACCUUUCCCUAGCCCCAAAACCUAAUACCCGGGUAUUACCUUCAGGAAGCCCGAAAACCCCAAAUAUUUUUUUUUCUUUUCUUUUUUAUUUUUUGGUCUAACUUACUCCAAAAGGUCUGAAACAUGUUCCUUAAAAGGUUUUGGACAGUGAUUUUAACCCUAACGCCAAAAACCUUAAACCUUACCCUAGCCCCAUAACCUAAUACCCUGGUAUUACCUUCAGGAAGCCCGAAAACCCCAAAUAUUUUUUUUUCUUUUCUUUUUUUUUUUUGGUCUAACUUACUCCAAAAGGUUGGAAAAGAGUUCCUACAAAGGUUUUGGACAGUGAUUUUAACCCCAACGCCAAAAACAUUAAACCUUACCCUAGCCCCAAAACAAAAUACGCGGGUAUUACCUUCACGAAGCCCGAAAACCCCAAAUAUUUUUUUCUUUUUUCUUUUUUUUUUGGUCUAACUAACUCCAAAAGGUUGGAAAAGAGUUCCUACAAAGGUUUUGGACAGUGAUUUUGACCCUAACGCCAAAAACCUUAAACCUUACCAUAGCCCCAAAACCAAAUACCCGGGUAUUACCUUCAGGAAGCCCGAAUACCCCAAAUAUUUUUUUUUCAUUUUUCAUUAUUAUUUGGUCUAACUAACUCCAAAAGGUUGGAAAAGAGUUCCUACAAAGGUUUUGGACAGUGAUUUUAACCCCAACGCCAAAAACAUUAAACCUUACCCUAGCCCCAAAACCAAAUACGCGGGUAUUACCUUCAGGAAGCCCGAAAACCCCAAAUAUUUUUUUUGCAUUUUUCAUUAUUAUUUGGUCUAACUAACUCCAAAAUAUUGGGAAAGAGUUCCUACAAAGGUUUUGGACAGUGAUUUUAACCCCAACGCCAAAAACAUUAAACCUUACCCUAGCCCCAAAACCAAAUACCUUCAGGAAGCCCGAAAACCCCAAAAAUUUUUUCUUCAUUCUUCAUUUUUUAUUGGUCUAACUAACUCCAAAAGGUUGGAAAAGAGUUCCUACAAAGGUUUUGGACAGUGAUUUUGACCCUAACGCCAAAAACGUUAAACCUUACCUUAGCCCGAAAACCAAAUACCCGGGUAUUACCUUCAGGAAGCCCGAAAACCCCAAAUAUUUUUUUUUCAUUUUUCUUUUUUUUUUGGUCUAACCAUCUCCAAAAGGUUGGAAAAGAGUUCCUACAAAGGUUUUGGACAGUGAUUUUAACCCUAACGCCAAAAACCUUGAACCUUCCCCUAGCCCCAAAACCUAAUACGCGGGUAUUACCUUCAGGAAGCCCGAAAACCCCAAAUAUUUUUUUUUCAUUUUUCAUUAUUAUUUGGUCUAACUUACUCCAAAAGGUUGGAAAAGAGUUCCUACAAAAGUUUUGGACAGUGAUUUUAACCCUAACGCCAAAAACGUUAAACCUUCCCCUAGCCCCAAAACCUAAUACGUGGGUAUUACCUUCAGGAAUCCCAAAAACCCCAAAUAUUUUUUUUCUUUUUUCUUUUUUUUUUGGUCUAACUAACUCCAAAAGGUUGGAAAAGAGUUCCUACAAAGGUUUUGGACAGUGAUUUUGACCCUAACGCCAAAAACCUUAAACCUUACCAUAGCCCCGAAAACCAAAUACCCGGGUAUUACCUUCAGGAAGCCCGAAUACCCCAAAUAUUUUUUUUUUCAUUUUUCAUUUUUAUUUGGUCUAACUAACUCCAAAAGGUUGGAAAAGAGUUCCUACAAAGGUUUUGGACAGUGAUUUUAACCCUAACGCCAAAAACCUUAAACCUUUCCCUAGCCCCAAAACCUAAUACCCGGGUAUUACCUUCAGGAAGCCCGAACACCCCAAAUAUUUUUUUUUUCAUUUUUCGUUAUUUUUUGGUCUUACUAACUCCAAAAGGUCUGAAACAUGUUCCUAAAAAGGUUUUGGACAGUGAUUUUAACCCUAACGCCAAAAACCUUAAACCUUUCCCUAGCCCCAAAACCUAAUACCCGGGUAUUACCUUCAGGAAGCCCGAAAACCCCAAAUAUUUUUUUUUCUUUUCUUUUUUUUUUUUGGUCUAACUUACUCCAAAAGGUUGGAAACAUGUUCCUUAAAAGGUUUUGGACAGUGAUUUUAACCCUAACGCCAAAAACCUUAAACCUUACCCUAGCCCCAUAACCUAAUACCCGGGUAUUACCUUCAGGAAGCCCGAAAAUCCCAAAUAUUCUUUAUUCUUUUCUUUUUUUUUUUGGUCUAACUUACUCCAAAAGGUUGGAAAAGAGUUCCUACAAAGGUUAUGGACAGUGAUUUUAACCCCAACGCCAAAAACCUUAAACCUUUCCCUAGCCCCAUAACCUAAUACCCAGGUAUUACCUUCAGGAAGCCCGAAAACCCCAAAUAUUUUUUUCUUUUUUCUUUUUUUUUGGUCUAACUAACUCCAAAAGGUUGGAAAAGAGUUCCUACAAAGGUUUUGGACAGUGAUUUUGACCCUAACGCCAAAAACCUUAAACCUUACCAUAGCCCGAAAACCAAAUACCCGGGUAUUACCUUCAGGAAGCCCGAAUACCCCAAAUAUUUUUUUUUCAUUUUUCAUCAUUAUUUGGUCUAACUAACUCCAAAAGGUUGGAAAAGAGUUCCUACAAAGGUUUUGGACAGUGAUUUUGACCCCAACGCCCAAAACCUUAAACCUACCGUAGCCCCAAAACCUAAUACGCGGGUAUUACCUUCAGGAAGCCCGAAAACCCCAAAUAUUUUUUUUUCAUUUUUCAUUAUUAUUUUGUCUAACUUACUCCAAAAGGUUGGAAAAGAGUUCCUACAAAAGUUUUGGACAGUGAUUUUAACCCUAACGCCAAAAACCUUAAACCUUCCCCUAGCCCCAAAACCUAAUACGUGGGUAUUACCUUCAGGAAUCCCAAAAACCCCAAAUAUUUUUUUUCUUUUUUCUUUUUUUUUUGGUCUAACUAACUCCAAAAGGUUGGAAAAGAGUUCCUACAAAGGUUUUGGACAGUGAUUUUGACCCUAACGCCAAAAACCUUAAACCUUACCAUAGCCCGAAAACCAAAUACCCGGGUAUUACUUUCAGGAAGCCCAAAUACCCCAAAUAUUUUUUUUUUCAUUUUUCAUUAUUAUUUGGUCUAACUAACUCCAAAAGUUUGGAAAAGAGUUCCUACAAAGGUUUUGGACAGUGAUUUUAUCCCUAACGCCAAAAACCUUAAACCUUUCCCUAGCCCCAAAACCUAAUACCCGGGUAUUACCUUCAGGAAGCCCGAACACCCCAAAUAUUUUUUUUUUCAUUUUUCGUUAUUUUUUGGUCUUACUAACUCCAAAAGGUCUGAAACAUGUUCCUAAAAAGGUUUUGGACAGUGAUUUUAACCCUAACGCCAAAAACCUUAAACCUUUCCCUAGCCCCAAAACCUAAUACCCGGGUAUUACCUUCAGGAAGCCCGAAAACCCCAAAUAUUUUUUUUUCUUUUCUUUUUUUUUUUGGUCUAACUUACUCCAAAAGGUCUGAAACAUGUUCCUUAAAAGGUUUUGGACAGUGAUUUUAACCCUAACGCCAAAAACCUUAAACCUUACCCUAGCCCCAUAACCUAAUACCCUGGUAUUACCUUCAGGAAGCCCGAAAACCCCAAAUAUUUUUUUUUCUUUUCUUUUUUUUUUUGGUCUAACUAACUCCAAAAGGUUGGAAAAGAGUUCCUACAAAGGUUUUGGACAGUGAUUUUGACCCUAACGCCAAAAACGUUAAACCUUACCUUAGCCCCAAAACGUAAUACGGGUAUUACCUUCAGGAAGCCCGAAAACCCCAAAUAUUUUUUUUUCUUUUUUCUUUUUUUUUUUGGUCUAACCAUCUCCAAAAGGUUGGAAAAGAGUUCCUACAAAGGUUUUGGACAGUGAUUUUAACCCUAACGCCAAAAACCUUAAACCUUCCCCUAGCCCCAAAACCUAAUACGCGGGUAUUACCUUCAGGAAGCCCGAAAACCCCAAUUUUUUUUUUUUCAUUUUUCAUUAUUAUUUGGUCUAAUUAACUCCAAAAUGUUGGAAAAGAGUUCCUACAAAGGUUUUGGACAGUGAUUUUAACCCCAACGCCAAAAACCUUAAACCUUCCCCUAGCCCCAAAACCUAAUACCCGGGUAAUACCUUCAGGAAGCCCGAAAACCCCAAAUAUUUUUUUUUCAUUUUUCAUUGUUUUUUUUCGGUGAAACUUACUCCAAAAGGUUGGAAAAGAGUUCCUACAAAGGUUUUGGACAGUGAUUUUAACCCCAACGCCAAAAACCUUAAACCUACCCUAGCCCCAUAAACUAAUACCUUCAGGAAUCCCGAAAACCCCAAAUAUUUUUUUUUCAUUUUUCAUUAUUAUUUGGUGUAACUAACUCCAAAAUGUUGGAAAAGAGUUCCUACAAAGGUUUUGGACAGUGAUUUUAACCCUUACGCCAAAAACCUUAAACCUUCCCGUAGCCCCAAAACCUAAUACCUUCAAGAAGCCCGAAAACCCCAAAUAUAUUUUUUUCAUUUUUUUUUUGUUUUUUUUGGUGUAACUAUCUCCAAAAGGUUGGAAAAGAGUUCCUACAAAGGUUUUGGACAGUGAUUUUAAGCCCAACGCCAAAAACCUUAAACCUACCGUAGCCCCAAAACCUAAUACGCGGGUAUUACCUUCAGGAAGCCCGAAAACCCCAAAUAUUUUUUUUUCAUUUUUCAUUAUUAUUUAGUCUAACUACCUCCAAAAUGUUGGAAAAGAGUUCCUACAAAAGUUUUGGACAGUGAUUUUAACCCUAACGCCAAAAACCUUAAACCUUACCCUAGCCCUAUAACCUAAUACCUAAUUUUAUUACCUUCAGGAAGCCCGAAAACCCCAAAUAUUUUUUUUUCUUUUCUUUUUUUUUUUGGUCUAACUAACUCCAAAAGGUUGGAAAAGAGUUCCUACAAAGGUUUUGGACAGUGAUUUUGACCCUAACGCCAAAAACCUUAAACCUUACCAUAGCCCGAAAACCAAAUACCCGGGUAUUACCUUCAGGAAGCCCGAAUACCCCAAAUAUUUUUUUUUCAUUUUUCAUUAUUAUUUGGUCUAACUAACUCCAAAAGGUUGGAAAAGAGUUCCUACAAAGGUUUUGGACAGUGAUUUUAACCCUAACGCCAAAAACCUUAAACCUUCCCCUAGCCCCAAAACCUAAUACGCGGGUAUUACCUUCAGGAAGCCCGAAAACCCCAAAUAUUUUUUUUUCAUUUUUCAUUUUUUUUGGUCUAAUUAACUCCAAAAUGUUGGAAAAGAGUUCCUACAAAGGUUUUGGACAGUGAUUUUAACCCCAACGCCAAAAACCUUAAACCUUCCCCUAGCCCCAAAAACCUAAUACCCGGGUAAUACCUUCAGGAAGCCCGAAAACCCCAAAUAUUUUUUUUUCAUUUUUCGUUAUUUUUUGGUCUUACUAACUCCAAAAGGUCUGAAACAUGUUCCUAAAAAGGUUUUGGACAGUGAUUUUAACCCUAACGCCAAAAACCUUAAACCUUUCCCUAGCCCCAAAACCUAAUACCUAAUUUUAUUACCUUCAGGAAGCCCGAAAACCCCAAAUAUUUUUUUUUCUUUUCUUUUUUCUUUUUUGGUCUAACUAACUCCAAAAGGUCUGAAACAUGUUCCUUAAAAGGUUUUGGACAGUGAUUUUAACCCUAACGCCAAAAACCUUAAACCUUACCCUAGCCCCAUAACCUAAUACCCGGGUAUUACCUUCAGGAAGCCCGAAAACCCCAAAUAUUUUUUUUCUUUUCUUUUUUUUUUGGUCUAACUUACUCCAAAAGGUUGGAAAAGAGUUCCUACAAAGGUUUUGGACAGUGAUUUUGACCCUAACGCCAAAAACCUUAAACCUUACCAUAGCCCGAAAACCAAAUACCAAAUACCGUAUUACCUUCAGGAAGCCCGAAUACCCCAAAUAUUUUUUUUUCAUUUUUCAUUAUUAUUUGGUCUAACUAACUCCAAAAGGUUGGAAAAGAGUUCCUACAAAGGUUUUGGACAGUGAUUUUAACCCUAACGCCAAAAACCUUAAACCUUCCCCUAGCCUCAAAACCUAAUACGCGGGUAUUACCUUCAGGAAGCCCGAAAACCCCAAAUAUUUUUUUUUCAUUUUUCAUUUUUUUUUUGGUCUAAUUAACUCCAAAAUGUUGGAAAAGAGUUCCUACAAAGGUUUUGGACAGUGAUUUUAACCCCAACGCCAAAAACCUUAAACCUUCCCCUAGCCCCAAAACCUAAUACCCGGGUAAUACCUUCAGGAAGCCCGAAAAGCCCAAAAAUUUUUUUUUCAUUUUUCGUUAUUUUUUGGUCUUACUAACUCCAAAAGGUCUGAAACAUGUUCCUAAAAAGGUUUUGGACAGUGAUUUUAACCCUAACGCCAAAAACCUUAAACCUUUCCCUAGCCCCAAAACCUAAUACCCGGGUAUUACCUUCAGGAAGCCCGAAAACCCCAAAUAUUUUUUUUUCUUUUCUUUUUUAUUUUUUGGUCUAACUUACUCCAAAAGGUCUGAAACAUGUUCCUUAAAAGGUUUUGGACAGUGAUUUUAACCCUAACGCCAAAAACCUUAAACCUUACCCUAGCCCCAUAACCUAAUACCCGGGUAUUACCUUCAGGAAGCCCGAAAACCCCAAAUAUUUUUUUUUUUUUCUUUUUUUUUUUGGUCUAACUAACUCCAAAAGGUUGGAAAAGAGUUCCUACAAAGGUUUUGGACAGUGAUUUUAACCCCAACGCCAAAAACCUUAAACCUUACCCUAGCCCCAAAACCUAAUACGCGGGUAUUACCUUCACGAAGCCCGAAAACCCCAAAUAUUUUUUUUGCAUUUUUCAUGAUUAUUUGGUCUAAUUAACUCCAAAAUGUUGGAAAAGAGUUCCUACAAAGGUUUUGGACAGUGAUUUUAACCCCAACGCCAAAAACCUUAAACCUUCCCCUAGCCCCAAAACCUAAUACCCGGGUAAUACCUUCAGGAAGCCCGAAAACCCCAAAUAUGUUUUUUUCAUUUUUCAUUGUUUUUUUUCAGUGAAACUUACUCCAAAAGGUUGGAAAAGAGUUCCUACAAAGGUUUUGGACAGUGAUUUUAACCCCAACGCCAAAAACCUUAAACCUACCCUAGCCCCAUAAACUAAUACCUUCAGGAAUCCCGAAAACCCCAAAUAUUAUUUUUUCAUUUUUCAUUAUUAUUUGGUGUAACUAACUCCAAAAUGUUGGAAAAGAGUUCCAACAAAGGUUUUGGACAGUGAUUUUAACCCUUACGCCAAAAACCUUAAACCUUCCCGUAGCCCCAAAACCUAAUACCUUCAAGAAGCCCGAAAACCCCAAAUAUAUUUUUUUCAUUUCUUUUUUGUUUUUUUUGGUGAAACUAUCUCCAAAAGGUUGGAAAAGAGUUCCUACAAAGGUUUUGGACAGUGAUUUUAAGCCCAACGCCAAAAACCUUAAACCUACCGUAGCCCCAAAACCUAAUACGCGGGUAUUACCUUCAGGAAGCCCGAAAACCCCAAAUAUUUUUUUUUCAUUUUUCAUUAUUAUUUAGUCUAACUACCUCCAAAAUGUUGGAAAAGAGUUCCUACAAAAGUUUUGGACAGUGAUUUUAACCCUAACGCCAAAAACCUUAAACCUUACCCUAGCCCUAUAACCUAAUACCUAAUUUUAUUACCUUCAGGAAGCCCGAAAACCCCAAAUAUUUUUUUUCUUUUUUCUUUUUUUUUUGGUCUAACUAACUCCAAAAGGUUGGAAAAGAGUUCCUACAAAGGUUUUGGACAGUGAUUUUGACCCUAACGCCAAAAACCUUAAACCUUACCAUAGCCCGAAAACCAAAUACCCGGGUAUUACCUUCAGGAAGCCCGAAUACCCCAAAUAUUUUUUUUUCAUUUUUCAUUAUUAUUUGGUCUAACUAACUCCAAAAGGUUGGAAAAGAGUUCCUACAAAGGUUUUGGACAGUGAUUUUAACCCUAACGCCAAAAACCUUAAACCUUCCCCUAGCCCCAAAACCUAAUACGCGGGUAUUACCUUCAGGAAGCCCGAAAACCCCAAAUAUUUUUUUUUCAUUUUUCAUUUUUUUUUGGUCUAAUUAACUCCAAAAUGUUGGAAAAGAGUUCCUACAAAGGUUUUGGACAGUGAUUUUAACCCCAACGCCAAAAACCUUAAACCUUCCCCUAGCCCCAAAAACCUAAUACCCGGGUAAUACCUUCAGGAAGCCCGAAAAGCCCAAAAAUUUUUUUUUCAUUUUUCGUUAUUUUUUGGUCUUACUAACUCCAAAAGGUCUGAAACAUGUUCCUAAAAAGGUUUUGGACAGUGAUUUUAACCCUAACGCCAAAAACCUUAAACCUUUCCCUAGCCCCAAAACCUAAUACCUAAUUUUAUUACCUUCAGGAAGCCCGAAAACCCCAAAUAUUUUUUUUUCUUUUCUUUUUUAUUUUUUGGUCUAACUAACUCCAAAAGGUCUGAAACAUGUUCCUUAAAAGGUUUUGGACAGUGAUUUUAACCCUAACGCCAAAAACCUUAAACCUUACCCUAGCCCCAUAACCUAAUACCCGGGUAUUACCUUCAGGAAGCCCGAAAACCCCAAAUAUUUUUUUUCUUUUCUUUUUUUUUUUGGUCUAACUUACUCCAAAAGGUUGGAAAAGAGUUCCUACAAAGGUUUUGGACAGUGAUUUUAACCCUAACGCCAAAAACCUUAAACCUUACCCUAGCCCCAAAACCAAAUACGCGGGUAUUACCUUCAGGAAGCCCGAAAACCCCAAAUAUUUUUUUUUCUUUUUUCUUUUUUUUUUUGGUCUAACUAACUCCAAAAGGUUGGAAAAGAGUUCCUACAAAGGUUUUGGACAGUGAUUUUAACCCUAACGCCAAAAACCUUAAACCUUACCCUAGCCCCAAAACCUAAUACCCGGGUAUUACCUUCAGGAAGCCCGAAAACCCCAAAUAUUUUUUUUUCAUUUUUCAUUUUUAUUUGGUCUAACUUACUCCAAAAGGUUGGAAAAGAGUUUCUACAAAGGUUUUGGACAGUGAUUUUAACCCCAACGCCAAAAACAUUAAACCUACCGUAGCCCCAAAACCUAAUACGCGGGUAUUACCUUCAGGAAGCCCGAAAACCCCAAAUAUUUUUUUUUCAUUUUUCAUUUUUUUGGUCUAACUAACUCCAAAAGGUUGGAAAAGAGUUCCUACAAAGGUUUUGGACAGUGAUUUUAACCCUAACGCCAAAAACCUUAAACCUUCCCCUAGCCCCAAAACCUAAUACGUGGGUAUUACCUUCAGGAAUCCCAAAAACCCCAAAUAUUUUUUUUUUUUUUUCUUUUUUUUUUGGUCUAACUAACUCCAAAAGGUUGGAAAAGAGUUCCUACAAAGGUUUUGGACAGUGAUUUUAACCCUAACGCCAAAAACCUUAAACCUUACCCUAGCCCCAAAACCUAAUACCCGGGUAUUACCUUCAGGAAAUAUUUUUUUUUCAUUUUUCAUUAUUAUUUGGUCUAACUAACUCCAAAAGGUUGGAAAAGAGUUCCUACAAAGGUUUUGGACAGUGAUUUUAACCCUAACGCCAAAAACCUUAAACCUUACCCUAGCCCCAAAACCUAAUACCCGGGUAUUACCUUCAGGAAGCCCGAACACCCCAAAUAUUUUUUUUUUCAUUUUUCGUUAUUUUUUGGUCUAACUAACUCCAAAAGGUUGGAAAAGAGUUCCUACAAAGGUUUUGGACAGUGAUUUUAACCCUAACGCCAAAAACCUUAAACCUUUCCCUAGCCCCAAAACCUAAUACCCGGGUAUUACCUUCAGGAAGCCCGAAAACCCCAAAUAUUUUUUUUUCUUUUCUUUUUUAUUUUUUGGUCUAACUAACUCCAAAAGGUUGGAAAGAGUUCCUACAAAGGUUUUGGACAGUGAUUUUAACCCUAACGCCAAAAACCUUAAACCUUCCCUAGCCCCAAAACCUAAUACCCGGGUAUUACCUUCAGGAAGCCCGAAAACCCCAAAUAUUUUUUUUUCAUUUUUCAUUUUUUUUUGGUCUAACUAACUCCAAAAGGUUGGAAAAGAGUUCCUACAAAGGUUUUGGACAGUGAUUUUAACCCUAACGCCAAAAACCUUAAACCUUACCCUAGCCCCAUAACCUAAUACCCGGGUAUUACCUUCAGGAAGCCCGAAAACCCCAAAUAUUUUUUUUUUUUUUUUUUUUUUUUUGGUCUAACUAACUCCAAAAGGUUGGAAAAGAGUUCCUACAAAGGUUUUGGACAGUGAUUUUAACCCUAACGCCAAAAACCUUAAACCUUACCCUAGCCCCAAAACCUAAUACCCGGGUAUUACCUUCAGGAAGCCCGAAUACCCCAAAUAUUUUUUUUUCAUUUUUCAUUUUUAUUUGGUCUAACUAACUCCAAAAGGUUGGAAAAGAGUUCCUACAAAGGUUUUGGACAGUGAUUUUAACCCUAACGCCAAAAACCUUAAACCUUACCCUAGCCCCAAAACCUAAUACGCGGGUAUUACCUUCAGGAAGCCCGAAAACCCCAAAUAUUUUUUUUUCAUUUUUCAUUAUUAUUUGGUCUAACUAACUCCAAAAUGUUGGAAAAGAGUUCCUACAAAGGUUUUGGACAGUGAUUUUAACCCUAACGCCAAAAACCUUAAACCUUCCCCUAGCCCCAAAACCUAAUACGUGGGUAUUACCUUCAGGAAUCCCAAAAACCCCAAAUAUUUUUUUUCUUUUUUCUUUUUUUUUUUUGGUUUAACUAACUCCAAAAGGUUGGAAAAGAGUUCCUACAAAGGUUUUGGACAGUGAUUUUAACCCUAACGCCAAAAACCUUAAACCUUACCAUAGCCCGAAAACCAAAUACCCGGGUAUUACCUUCAGGAAGCCCAAAUACCCCAAAAAUUUUUUUUUUCAUUUUUCAUUAUUAUUUGGUCUAACUAACUCCAAAAGGUUGGAAAAGAGUUCCUACAAAGGUUUUGGACAGUGAUUUUAACCCUAACGCCAAAAACCUUAAACCUUUCCCUAGCCCCAAAACCUAAUACCCGGGUAUUACCUUCAGGAAGCCCGAACACCCCAAAUAUUUUUUUUUCUUUUCUUUUUUAUUUUUUGGUCUAACUUACUCCAAAAGGUCUGAAACAUGUUCCUUAAAAGGUUUUGGACAGUGAUUUUAACCCUAACGCCAAAAACCUUAAACCUUACCCUAGCCCCAUAACCUAAUACCCGGGUAUUACCUUCAGGAAGCCCGAAAACCCCAAAUAUUUUUUUUUUCUUUUCUUUUUUUUUUUUUGGUCUAACUUACUCCAAAAGGUUGGAAAAGAGUUCCUACAAAGGUUUUGGACAGUGAUUUUAACCCUAACGCCAAAAACCUUAAACCUUACCCUAGCCCCAAAACCUAAUACCGGGUAUUACCUUCAGGAAGCCCGAAAACCCCAAAUAUUUUUUUUUUUUUUUUUUUUUUUUGGUGAAACUUACUCCAAAAGGUUGGAAAAGAGUUCCUACAAAGGUUUUGGACAGUGAUUUUAACCCUAACGCCAAAAACCUUAAACCUUACCCUAGCCCCAUAACCUAAUACCCGGGUAUUACCUUCAGGAAGCCCGAAAACCCCAAAUAUUUUUUUCUUUUUUCUUUUUUUUUGGUCUAACUAACUCCAAAAGGUUGGAAAAGAGUUCCUACAAAGGUUUUGGACAGUGAUUUUAACCCUAACGCCAAAAACCUUAAACCUUACCAUAGCCCCAAAACCAAAUACCCGGGUAUUACCUUCAGGAAGCCCGAACACCCCAAAUAUUUUUUUUUCAUUUUUCAUUUUUUUUGGUCUAACUAACUCCAAAAGGUUGGAAAAGAGUUCCUACAAAGGUUUUGGACAGUGAUUUUAACCCUAACGCCAAAAACCUUAAACCUUACCCUAGCCCCAAAACCUAAUACCCGGGUAUUACCUUCAGGAAGCCCGAAAACCCCACAUAUUUUUUUUUCAUUUUUCAUUAUUAUUUGGUCUAACUAACUCCAAAAGGUUGGAAAAGAGUUCCUACAAAGGUUUUGGACAGUGAUUUUAACCCUAACGCCAAAAACCUUAAACCUUCCCCUAGCCCCAAAACCUAAUACCGGGUAUUACCUUCAGGAAGCCCGAAAACCCCAAAUAUUUUUUUUUCAUUUUUCAUUUUUUUUUUGGUCUAACUAACUCCAAAAGGUUGGAAAAGAGUUCCUACAAAGGUUUUGGACAGUGAUUUUAACCCUAACGCCAAAAACCUUAAACCUUACCCUAGCCCCAAAACCUAAUACCCGGGUAUUACCUUCAGGAAGCCCGAAACCCCAAAUAUUUUUUUUUCAUUUUUCGUUAUUUUUUGGUCUUACUAACUCCAAAAGGUUGGAAAAGAGUUCCUACAAAGGUUUUGGACAGUGAUUUUAACCCUAACGCCAAAAACCUUAAACCUUUCCCUAGCCCCAAAACCUAAUACCCGGGUAUUACCUUCAGGAAGCCCGAAAACCCCAAAUAUUUUUUUUUUCAUUUUUUUAUUUUUUGGUCUAACUAACUCCAAAAGGUUGAAAAUGUUCCUACAAAGGUUUUGGACAGUGAUUUUAACCCUAACGCCAAAAACCUUAAACCUUACCCUAGCCCCAUAACCUAAUACCCGGGUAUUACCUUCAGGAAGCCCGAAAACCCCAAAUAUUUUUUUUUCUUUUCUUUUUUUUUUUGGUCUAACUUACUCCAAAAGGUUGGAAAAGAGUUCCUACAAAGGUUUUGGACAGUGAUUUUAACCCUAACGCCAAAAACCUUAAACCUUACCCUAGCCCCAAAACCAAAUACGCGGGUAUUACCUUCACGAAGCCCGAAAACCCCAAAUAUUUUUUUUCUUUUUUUUUUUUUUUUGGUCUAACUAACUCCAAAAGGUUGGAAAAGAGUUCCUACAAAGGUUUUGGACAGUGAUUUUAACCCUAACGCCAAAAACCUUAAACCUUACCCUAGCCCCAAAACCAAAUACCCGGGUAUUACCUUCAGGAAGCCCGAAUACCCCAAAUAUUUUUUUUUCAUUUUUCAUUAUUAUUUGGUCUAACUAACUCCAAAAGGUUGGAAAAGAGUUCCUACAAAGGUUUUGGACAGUGAUUUUAACCCUAACGCCAAAAACCUUAAACCUUACCCUAGCCCCAAAACCAAAUACGCGGGUAUUACCUUCACGAAGCCCGAAAACCCCAAAUAUUUUUUUUGCAUUUUUCAUUAUUAUUUGGUCUAACUAACUCCAAAAUAUUGGGAAAGAGUUCCUACAAAGGUUUUGGACAGUGAUUUUAACCCUAACACCAAAAACCUUAAACCUUCCCCUAGCCCCAAAACCUAAUACCUUCAGGAAGCCCGAAAACCCCAAAUAUUUUUUCUUCAUUUUUCAUUUUUUAUUGGUCUAACUAACUCCAAAAGGUUGGAAAAGAGUUCCUACAAAGGUUUUGGACAGUGAUUUUGACCCUAACGCCAAAAACGUUAAACCUUACCUUAGCCCCAAAACGUAAUACGGGUAUUACCUUCAGGAAGCCCGAAAACCCCAAAUAUUUUUUUUUCUUUUUUUUUUUUUUUUUUGGUCUAACCAUCUCCAAAAGGUUGGAAAAGAGUUCCUACAAAGGUUUUGGACAGUGAUUUUAACCCUAACGCCAAAAACCUUAAACCUUCCCCUAGCCCCAAAACCUAAUACGCGGGUAUUACCUUCAGGAAGCCCGAAAACCCCAAAUAUUUUUUUUUCAUUUUUCAUUAUUAUUUAGUCUAACUUACUCCAAAAGGUUGGAAAAGAGUUCCUACAAAAGUUUUGGACAGUGAUUUUAACCCUAACGCCAAAAACGUUAAACCUUCCCCUAGCCCCAAAACCUAA
This 40830-nucleotide long non-coding RNA is filed under the name Xyrichtys novacula (pearly razorfish). Lineage: Eukaryota; Metazoa; Chordata; Actinopteri; Labriformes; Labridae. The record is from RNAcentral.